UUGAACGCUGGCGGCAUGCCUUACACAUGCAAGUCGAACGGCAGCACGGGAGCAAUCCUGGUGGCGAGUGGCGAACGGGUGAGUAAUAUAUCGGAACGUGUCCAGUUGUGGGGGAUAGCCCGGCGAAAGCCGGAUUAAUACCGCAUACGACCUACGGGUGAAAGCGGGGGAUCGCAAGACCUCGCGCUAUUGGAGCGGCCGAUGUCAGAUUAGCUUGUUGGUGGGGUAAAAGCCUACCAAGGCGACGAUCUGUAGCUGGUCUGAGAGGACGACCAGCCACACUGGGACUGAGACACGGCCCAGACUCCUACGGGAGGCAGCAGUGGGGAAUUUUGGACAAUGGGCGCAAGCCUGAUCCAGCCAUGCCGCGUGCGGGAAGAAGGCCUGGUGUAACG
RNAcentral lists this ribosomal RNA (395 nucleotides) under uncultured bacterium. Its description in RNAcentral is "bacterial SSU rRNA". It matches the Rfam family "Bacterial small subunit ribosomal RNA", at positions 29 to 430 of the family's 1533-position model. The record is from RNAcentral.